This 423-nucleotide ribosomal RNA is filed under the name uncultured bacterium. RNAcentral's name for it is "bacterial SSU rRNA". It matches the Rfam family "Bacterial small subunit ribosomal RNA", at positions 207 to 622 of the family's 1533-position model. The record is from RNAcentral.
AAGACCUUGCGCUUUUGGAGCGGCCGAUGCCUGAUUAGCUUGUUGGUAAGGUAAAGGCUUACCAAGGCUUCGAUCAGUAGCUGGUCUGAGAGGACGGCCAGCCACACUGGGACUGAGACACGGCCCAGACUCCUACGGGAGGCAGCAGUGGGGAAUUUUGGACAAUGGGGGAAACCCUGAUCCAGCCAUGCCGCGUGAGUGAAGAAGGCCUUCGGGUUGUAAAGCUCUUUCAGCCGGAACGAAACGGUUACGGAUAAUACCCGUGACUACUGACGGUACCGGAAGAAGAAGCACCGGCUAACUACGUGCCAGCAGCCGCGGUAAUACGUAGGGUGCGAGCGUUAAUCGGAAUUACUGGGCGUAAAGCGUGCGCAGGUGGUUUUGCAAGUCAGAUGUGAAAGCCCCGGGCUCAACCUGGGAACU